AAAGAAAUAAUACAAUAGCUAUAUGCUUGAACAUAUAUGAACAUGUAUAUAGUUUUAAAAUGCAAACGAGUACGUACGUUACUUACAAAUUAAGUAUACACAGAAAUGAAAAAAAAAUAAAAAAAAAAUAAAAAAUAAAAAAAAGAGCUCACAUGAAAAUACCACAUAAAAUAAAAGACAGCAUAUACAACAAUAUUAUAAAAAAUAAAACAGUAGAGUUCAGUGAUGGAGGGGAGGAUGAAUUAGACUUUAAAAAAAUAGUAGAGGAUAAUAUAAAUAAAUUAAACCUUAAUGAUGAGAAUAAAGCUGAGGCUAAAAUAAAAUGGGAAAACAUUUUAAAAACAAAUGCAAAAAAUUAUGGGAAAUAUUCUUCUGGUAAUAAAAUAAAAAUAUAUAAUAAUAAUGCAUUAGCAUUUAUUGAUAUACUAAAGUCUAUUAAUAAGAGUAAAAAAAGAGUGUGGUUAGAAUCAUAUAUAUUUGAUGACUCAAAGUUAGCUAAAUUAGUUGUCGAUAGUUUGUGUAAUGCAUCACAAAGAGGUUGUGAUGUUAUAUUAUUAGUUGAUUAUAUCGGUAGUGUUAAAAUAAAAAACAAAUGGGUGGCUAUGUUAAAAAAGAAUAAUGUUGAAGUGAUAUUUUUUAAUAACUUUUUAAAUUCUUUUUUUAAUAUGCUACCUAUAUUUUUUAGAGAUCAUCGAAAAAUAUUAAUAGCUGAUAACACAGCUUAUUGUGGUUCUAUGAAUGUUUCAGAAAAUGUUGUUCCAAAUUAUUAUAUUCAGGGAGGUACUAUUUGUAAGGAUCUUGUUGAGGAGAUAGCUAAUGGAAUGAAUAAUCAGUCGAUUGGCCAGUCGAUUGAUGACUUAUCUAGCAAGCCAGCUGAUCAAUUAUGUGAAGGACGUGUUAGAGAUUCAAAUUUAACAAAAAAAGAAAGCAAAAGUAAAUGCUUAGAAUAUUACGAUUUGCAUAUAAAAAUGAAAGGACCGGCAGUAAAAGAUUUAGCUAACGUUUUUAUAGAUUCUCUUAACAUGAGCAACAGUAAUAUUGUUCGUACUCCCAUAGAAAAGCAAAAAAUAUAUACUAGCAGUGGUGGUAGUGAUAGCAACUCUGACAACCCUAGUAACAAAAAAAACAGCGUAAAUGACUGUUAUGUACAAAUACUCGAAUCAAAUGUUCUUCGGAAAAUCAAAUCGAUUCAGAAUAUAUUUGAUUAUGUAAUUAGAAAUGGAGCUACAGAAAGUAUUUAUAUUACAACUAGCUAUUUUUUACCACCAGGUUUUUUAAGG
RNAcentral lists this long non-coding RNA (1280 nucleotides) under Piliocolobus tephrosceles (Ugandan red Colobus). Its description in RNAcentral is "lncRNA (ENSPTEG00000000629.1)". Lineage: Eukaryota; Metazoa; Chordata; Mammalia; Primates; Cercopithecidae. The record is from RNAcentral.